CACGUAGGGCGCAAGCGUUGUCCGGAAUUAUUGGGCGUAAAGAGCUCGUAGGCGGUCUGUUGCGUCCGCUGUGAAAACUCGGGGCUUAACCCCGAGCCUGCAGUGGAUACGGGCAGACUAGAGGUAGGUAGGGGAGAAUGGAAUUCCCGGUGUAGCGGUGAAAUGCGCAGAUAUCGGGAGGAACACCGGUGGCGAAGGCGGCUCUCUGGGCCUUACCUGACGCUGAGGAGCGAAAGCGUGGGGAGCGAACAGG
RNAcentral lists this ribosomal RNA (253 nucleotides) under uncultured bacterium. RNAcentral's name for it is "partial 16S ribosomal RNA". It matches the Rfam family "Bacterial small subunit ribosomal RNA", at positions 524 to 776 of the family's 1533-position model. The record is from RNAcentral.